CUCCUGUGUCCUCCUCUUCCUUCCUGUUCCUGUUCUCAGCACUGCCACUGGCUUUUGGCCUCGUGGCAGCUCCAAGACAACCCAUGCUCCCAGCACAGGAGAGCUGCUUGGGCUGGCCCCGGCAGAAGAUCCAAUGUGUUCUGACUAACAUGGAAGCUUUUUCAAGUUCUGACAUUAGCAUACACAUUGUUAGGUAUGUUCUCCCAUGGAUAUGUAAGAAUGAAAUGAAAGUUUGAAUUCAGAGAAAUCGUGUCAGGAUUACAGACUGUUCCAAGCACAAUCUAUUAAAGAAGAGAUUCCUCUCCCUUAAGUUCAAAAUUGAAAGGACAGAAAUGUAGGUAUCUGUGAGCCCAUGUGAUUUUAACCGCAGUUAGUGGGCAGGAGACAUUAAUGAAGUUUUCCCUACCAUGCUUCUGAGACAUCCAGUCUUAUUUUAUGAACUGUAGUUUGAUGGAUGUAUUACUGCACAAAAAAUAAAUUACACAACUGGAACAAAAUAUUUCCUGCAAGAAAUGGGUAAAUAAAACUAAGUGCUUCUCCAGGUCAGUUGUGUGUAGCAGAUAGGCUCUGAUUUAUUUUAUUCUGAUAAGUAAGUGUGUAUCAACAAAAACCAUAGUGCUUAAUAGACCUGUUGGAAACUGGGAUAUCAGCUACCUGGUAUCACAUAGAUGAAAACAGAACAUUCACUUCUAUUUUCUUUUUUCUUUUCUUUUCUUUACUUUUUUUUUAAACUCUUGAGCACUACAGGAUCCAUGCCUGCAUAUACUCUCCCCUUCACAAAACCAACAUCCCACUGGUCCUGGCUGAGCACCAACAUCGAAACUUUUGCUAGUUACAACGUGCUGAAAUGUACAAAUUCAUUUCUUAAGGUAUGUAAUUAGAAGACAAUGUAGGUAUAGAAACUCAACAUUUUUUGGGGGGGCUUUUGAAAUACUUACAGAAGGAAGGGUAUUUUAAUUGGAACAAGUUGGCUUAUAUAUAAACUUAAAAUUGCUUUGUUAUAUCUAGCUUUUUUGCUCAGUAUUUUUUGUAUUUUUCUUAAAGAAGGAGGACUUAAUGACAAGCAAAUGAUACAUGGGCAUGCCCUGUGGAAACUGGGACGUCCAAAUGAAGAUCUUCAGCAAUCGUUUCACUUGACUGAGGAGUCAACUGCACAUUUGCAUUUCAGUUUUCAUGGAAAUAAAAUGGAAGCAUUACUUUCGGAGCAACCUAUGUACAUAACUUUAUACAACUAUAACUCAAGCUCUAGGGGACUAACAGUACAUAAGAAUUUGUCCUUAAAGCAGUAACUGAGUGAAAUCAGUAGAAAUUCUGAGUGUGAGCAGCUGUUGCAGAAGGCAGUGGGAAUUAUGAAGAUACAGCAUCCAUCACCACUCAGACAUAUGGUGGACAGAAUGGUGGCAAAGUACCCAGCUAUGCCAGUUGUAUUCACUAGGAAUGAUGAAGGAAGUCCACAAAAUAAGCAGCCACAAGACCAGAAGAGAAAAGAUUUUGGAAGGAAGAGCAAAGCCCUAGACUGUGAUAGAACAGAGUCAUCUUGCUGCGAGGAAGCACUGGUAUGUUUGUUGUACAAUUAGACAAAAUCAUUUUGCAUCUUCUAAACUCGUGCUGUUACAAAACUAUGCAACUUUCAUAGGGAAAAUGAUAAUCUGUAUUAUUUAUGCUAAAUACAUCAUCAUUUUUUCAUACCAUUUCCUUUUUAUUAAGCUUCUGUUUAAGUAUUAGACUUAGAAGUAUUGGAAAUACCAAAACCAAUUGAAAAUUGGAUUAAAGUGUUGGAUAUGCCUAAUAAAUAAACUUAUAACAAAAAUGAUUCAUCAUUUUCAAAAAAGUGGGUUGAUCUCUGGCUAACAUCUCCCUGCAAAAUAAUUAAAAUGAAAAAAGCACUACUAUUAAAUGCAAAUACUGUUAUUAUCCACAUGACAUCUUUGAUGUGAUAUGAAUGGGGCUUAUGUUCUACUGUGAAAAAGCUCAUGAAGUAUUUUACACCAAGAAAGCCAAAAGGCUGUGAUUUGCAGAAUAACAUUAUGGAGAAGAAACAAGGAUUAACAGUAGUUCCUGGAGAAGGGACACACAUUUCACAGCUUUUUGGGGAUAAAAACCAACUAAACAACAACAACAAAAAAACACCGAACAAACCACACAACAAAACCCCCAUUUUGUUUCAUUCUUAAGUUACUUUUGUUAUCAUAACACACAACAAAUUUGGACCACCUUUAGGUAUCCAGCGCACUUCUGCUGCCUGAGACUACUGGAAAUAAGAAAUGUUAACCAGAAGCAUGAGGAGAAGUAGCCAACUACCAAUAGGAAACGAUGCUCUCUUCGCCAGAAUUAGCAAGCAGCUCCCAUAUCCCCUCUCCUUGUCUUGUUAGGCCCGUUUGUCCAUCCUUGUUCUUUCCUCGGUUGGGAAAUUUCUUGUGCUACUUCAGAAUACUGCAAAAAAGACUGGACUACAACUAUUUCAAAUAGCAGGUAUUUACUUAUCACUGUCUUCACUGCCACCUGAAUGUCACAAAUAGAUAUUUAAAAACAAACAAACAACAAUAACAAAAACCCUGAACAACCAGUCUAGCAGCCCAUUGCUUGCAUGAGCCUUUUAGCCACAAUUUAUUACGUCUCUAUUCACUGAUAGCAUGGUAUGAUUAAAAAUUGAAAG
This is a long non-coding RNA of Numida meleagris (helmeted guineafowl), 2656 nucleotides long. RefSeq lists it as uncharacterized. The transcript is spliced from 5 exons. NCBI's taxonomy places the organism in Eukaryota, Metazoa, Chordata, Aves, Galliformes, Numididae. The record is from RefSeq and is a predicted model, not a curated record.